CUCAACCGUGGAAUUGCAGGGCGAACUGGCAGUCUUGAGGCAGGUAGGGGUCAACGGAACUGUCGGUGGAGCGGUGAAAUGUGUAGAUAUCGACAGGAACGCCAGUGGCGAAGGCGGUUGACUGGGCCUGUCCUGACGCUCAGGCACGAAAGCGUGGGGAGCAAACGGGAUUAGAUACCCUGGUAGUCCACGCCGUAAACGAUGCACACUAGGUCGCGGCGUCUCUGACGUCGUCGCGGCCGAAGCAAAAGUGUUAAGUGUGCCGCCUGGGGAGUACGGUCGCAAGGCUAAAACUCAAAGGAAUUGACGGGGGCUCACACAAGCGGUGGAGCAUGUUGCUUAAUUCGAGGCAACGCGAAGAACCUUACCUGGGUUUGACAUGCACGGAUUAACCUUUCGAAAGAUCGGCCACGCCCUUUGGGUGGAACG
Molecule: ribosomal RNA, 429 nt
Filed under: uncultured bacterium
Lineage: Bacteria
Description: bacterial SSU rRNA
Rfam family: Bacterial small subunit ribosomal RNA
Source: RNAcentral